Molecule: ribosomal RNA, 530 nt
Filed under: uncultured rumen bacterium
Lineage: Bacteria
Description: bacterial SSU rRNA
Rfam family: Bacterial small subunit ribosomal RNA
Source: RNAcentral
AGUGGCGAACGGGUGAGUAAAGCGCAAAUAACCUACCCUAAAGAUGGGGACAACAAGUCGAAAGAUUUGCUAAUACCGAAUGUUGUGAAAUUUUCGCAUGGGGAUCUCAUUAAAGAUUUAUCGCUUUAGGAGGGGUUUGCGUCCGAUUAGGUAGUUGGUAAGGUAAGAGCUUACCAAGCCGACGAUCGGUAACCGGUCUGAGAGGAUGAACGGUCACAUUGGAACUGAGACACGGUCCAGACUCCUACGGGAGGCAGCAGUGGGGAAUAUUCCACAAUGGGGGAAACCCUGAUGGAGCGACGCCGCGUGAGUGAAGAAGGGCUUCGGCUCGUAAAGCUCUUUUCUACUUGACGAAUGGUAUAUUGGAUAUAUAGGGACGGUAAAGUAGGAAUAAGCCACGGCUAACUACGUGCCAGCAGCCGCGGUAAUACGUAGGUGGCAAGCGUUGUCCGGAAUUAUUGGGCGUAAAGGGAGCGCAGGCGGGAAAUCAAGUCUGAAUUAAAAGUGCAGCAGUAAUGGCUGUGAUGGUU